GUGGGGAAUAUUGGACAAUGGGCGAAAGCCUGAUCCAGCCAUGCAGCGUGUGUGAAGAAGGUCUUCGGAUUGUAAAGCACUUUAAGUUGGGAGGAAGGGCAGUAAGUUAAUACCUUGCUGUUUUGACGUUACCGACAGAAUAAGCACCGGCUAACUUCGUGCCAGCAGCCGCGGUAAUACGAAGGGUGCAAGCGUUAAUCGGAAUUACUGGGCGUAAAGCGCGCGUAGGUGGUUUUGUAAGUUGGAGGUGAAAUCCCCGGGCUCAACCUGGGAACUGCCUCCAAAACUGCAUGACUAGAGUACGGUAGAGGGUAGUGGAAUUUCCUGUGUAGCGGUGAAAUGCGUAGAUAUAGGAAGGAACACCAGUGGCGAAGGCGACUACCUGGACUGAUACUGACACUGAGGUGCGAAAGCGUGGGGAGCAAACAGGAUUAGAAACCCUUGUAGUCC
This 450-nucleotide ribosomal RNA is filed under the name uncultured bacterium. Its description in RNAcentral is "partial 16S ribosomal RNA". It matches the Rfam family "Bacterial small subunit ribosomal RNA", at positions 354 to 796 of the family's 1533-position model. The record is from RNAcentral.